Molecule: ribosomal RNA, 497 nt
Filed under: uncultured bacterium
Lineage: Bacteria
Description: partial 16S ribosomal RNA
Rfam family: Bacterial small subunit ribosomal RNA
Source: RNAcentral
GAUGAACGCUGGCGGCGUGCCUAAUACAUACAAGUCGAGCGAACAGAUAAGGAGCUUGCUCCUUUGACGUUAGCGGCGGACGGGUGAGUAACACGUGGGUAACCUACCUAUAAGACUGGAAUAACUCCGGGAAACCGGGGCUAAUGCCGGAUAACAUUUAGAACCGCAUGGUUCUAAAGUGAAAGAUGGCUUUGCUAUCACUUAUAGAUGGACCCGCGCCGUAUUAGCUAGUUGGUAAGGUAACGGCUUACCAAGGCAACGAUACGUAGCCGACCUGAGAGGGUGAUCGGCCACACUGGAACUGAGACACGGUCCAGACUCCUACGGGAGGCAGCAGUAGGGAAUCUUCCGCAAUGGGCGAAAGCCUGACGGAGCAACGCCGCGUGAGUGAUGAAGGUCUUCGGAUCGUAAAACUCUGUUAUUAGGGAAGAACAAAUGUGUAAGUAACUGUGCACGUCUUGACGGUACCUAAUCAGAAAGCCACGGCUAACUACGUG